UGAAAAUGUGCAUAAUGACUAGUUACCAGGA
RNAcentral lists this non-coding RNA (31 nucleotides) under Rattus norvegicus (Norway rat). The record is from RNAcentral. Lineage: Eukaryota; Metazoa; Chordata; Mammalia; Rodentia; Muridae.